UCUAACCACACGCCCCACAGCAGUAUUGCUGUGCCUGCACACACACACCAGCCCCAUGCCGCUGCAAUUGCUCACCUUCAGCAAGGAUUUCCUGGCCUUGGCCUUGCGCUUCUCAUCGGCCCACUCCUGAGCCUGUGGGAGGGGAGAGGAGAGGCGUUGGCACCGAGGUGCUCUGCAUCCCACCGGCCCUCUGCUGCCAUGCCAUGGGCAGGGUGCCCUCCAGCCUGCAGCUCGCCCCGCCGGCCCAUCUUUGUCUGUGCUCCUAGAGCUCACCUGCAGCAACUUCUGCACCAGCUUCACACGCUGCUGCGCUAUUAUUCCGCUGCCAAACUGAACCCGCAUUACUGCACCACUCGCACAGCUCCUCGCUGGACCAGAACCAACCGCAGAAUGGGGCCGGCAGGUUCAGUGCUGACCCACUGCCCCUGCCCCACCCCAGGGCCUCUGUGAGGUCAUCACAUCAUUGUGACAUCACCCGCACAGGAGGGUCCUGGAAGAUCAUAGAACUGCAGGACGGCGUGGCUUGGGAGGUUCCUUAGUGAUCACAGAACCAUAGAAUGGUUUGUGUUGCAAGAGUCCUGGAAGAUGAUAGAACCACAGGAUGGUGUGGCUUGGAAGGGUCCUGGAAGAUCAUAGAAUCACAGAAUGGUUCUUUGAAACAGCUGUGAAGGAUCUGUGAGCAAAUCCGCCGUCAGUAGUUGGUGCCGCGGGAAGGCCUGAGGUCCGACCUUUCCUCCAACGGCUUCAGUGUAACUUUGGAAAGACAGUGCUCACACCUGGUUUGUUCUAUCUGCCAGGACGUCUGUUCCCUCAGAUGGCAUUUCUGGAGUCGGUUUCCCCAGCUCCGGAAAGAAGGGUUUGUGUUAGGGUUAGGAUUAUCAUUAAGUUUACCAUUACGGUUAGUGCUGGAGUUAGGGCUAUGGUUAGGGCUAGGGUUUGGCUUAGGGUUAGGCUUAGGCUUAGGGCUAUGGAUUGGGUUAGGGUUAG
This 987-nucleotide long non-coding RNA is filed under the name Gallus gallus (chicken). RNAcentral describes it as "lncRNA (ENSGALG00010000219.1)". Lineage: Eukaryota; Metazoa; Chordata; Aves; Galliformes; Phasianidae. The record is from RNAcentral.